Molecule: ribosomal RNA, 460 nt
Filed under: uncultured bacterium
Lineage: Bacteria
Description: partial 16S ribosomal RNA
Rfam family: Bacterial small subunit ribosomal RNA
Source: RNAcentral
CCUACGGGUGGCAGCAGUGAGGAAUAUUGGUCAAUGGGCUCGAUCCUGAACCAGCCAAGUAGCGUGAAGGAUGACUGCCCUACGGUUUGUAAACUUCUUUUAUAAAGGAAUAAAGUGAGGCACGUGUGCCUUUUUGUAUGUACUUUAUGAAUAAGGAUCGGCUAACUCCGUGCCAGCAGCCGCGGUAAUACGGAGGAUCCGAGCGUUAUCCGGAUUUAUUGGGUUUAAGGGGAGCGUAGAUGGGUUGUUAAGUCAGUUGUGAAAGUUUGCGGAUCAACCGUAAAAUUGCAAUUGAUACUGGCAGCCUUGAGUACAGUUGAGGUAGGCGGAAUUCGUGGUGUAGCGGUGAAAUGCUUAGAUAUCACGAAGAACUCCGAUUGCGAAGGCAGCUUACUAAACUGACACUGACAUUGAUGCUCGAAAGUGUGGGUAUCAAACAGGAUUAGAUACCCGAGUAGUC